GGUUGGUUGUCUAUAGCCUAACGCUGAAGUCAGUUUGACAGAGCUCAGUUGGCUUUGAGUAGUGCUGAAGUAAGAUUCCGCUAUCCACUAACGAGUCAAUCUCGGAAGAAACAACCGGAAAUGGCUUCAGGUCCAGGACAAGGUGAAGCCGGCUUAGUGACGUAGACUUCUACCGGCCCAUGUACACCAAACUAAAUACUACAGCCAGAAA
This 211-nucleotide long non-coding RNA is filed under the name Elaeis guineensis (African oil palm). RNAcentral describes it as "long non-coding RNA (EGUI_LNC010901)". The record is from RNAcentral. Lineage: Eukaryota; Viridiplantae; Streptophyta; Magnoliopsida; Arecales; Arecaceae.